UUACGGCUUAGUUUAAAUAGAACAGUCAAAUUGCAAUUGAUAAGUGAAUUCUCAGCGGU
RNAcentral lists this transfer RNA (59 nucleotides) under Rhinodrilus brasiliensis. RNAcentral describes it as "tRNA-Ala". The record is from RNAcentral. Lineage: Eukaryota; Metazoa; Annelida; Clitellata; Crassiclitellata; Glossoscolecidae.